Patella vulgata (common limpet) is the source of this 803-nucleotide long non-coding RNA. RefSeq lists it as uncharacterized. The record is from RefSeq and is a predicted model, not a curated record. Lineage: Eukaryota; Metazoa; Mollusca; Gastropoda; Patellidae. The transcript has 3 exons.
CAGAGGAAGAGCGGAGGUUGCGUUUAGGGUUAUCCAUUAGCUGAUUACACCAUUUUGGCUAUGCCGUCUUUUUAGGACUUCGAAUUUUGUCUAAUGGUUUGGAUUGUUCGUACUUGGUUUUAUUUUAUUCAAGAAAUAUUUGUAUGUAAGAAGCAGAAUUUUAAACUUAAUUCUAUAUUGAAUCGGUAACCAACGAAGACUGUACAAUAUUGGAAUAAUAUGAGAGGACUGUUUUGCCUGUGUUAUAAGCCUAGCUGCACAAUUUUGUACUUUUUAUACGCCCACAUUGAAAUGUGGUCGUAUAUUGUCGCCAUGAGAUGAAGAAUCCUAUUGAUUUUCAGCGAUUUCCGAUAAUUACUGCCAGAGUUAUGGCCCUUGAUCACUUCAAAAAAUCUUGUGGACGCUCUAGAGGCCAAAGUUAAUAUCCGAUUGACUUUAAAUUUACACACAGUGUUUAAGGUCAUGAGACGAAGAAUCCUAUUGAUUUUCAGCGAUUUCCGAUAAUUACUGCCAGAGUUAUGGCCAUUGAUCACUCCAAAAAAUCUUGUGGACGCUCUAGAGGCCAAAGUUAAUAUCCGAUUUACUUUAAAUUUAUACACAGUGCUUAAGGUCAUGAGACGAAGAAGCCUAUUGAUUUUUAGCGAUUUCCGAUAAUUACAGCCAGAGUUAUGGCCCUUGAUCACUUCAAAAAAUCUUGUGGACGCUCUAGAGGCUAAAGUUAAUAUCCGAUUGACUUUAAAUUUAUAUAGAGUGUUUAAGGCCAUGAGAUGAAGAAGACUAUUGAUUUUCAGCGAUUUCCGAUA